GACGAACGCUGGCGGCGUGCCUAACACAUGCAAGUCGAGCGGAGAUGCGCUGACGGAAAGCUUCGGCUGGAAGAUGGUGCAUUUUAGCGGCGGACGGGUGAGUAACGCGUGAGCAACCUUUCCUUCACAGGGGGAUAAGAUACCGAAAGGUGUUCUAAUACCGCAUGAGACCACAGAGCCACAUGGCACAGGGGUCAAAGGAGGAAUCCGGUGAAGGGUGGGCUCGCGUCCGAUUAGCUAGUUGGUGAGGUGACGGCCCACCAAGGCGACGAUCGGUAGCCGACCUGAGAGGGUGAUCGGCCACAUUGGAACUGAGAGACGGUCCAAACUCCUACGGGAGGCAGCAGUGGGGAAUAUUGGGCAAUGGGGGAAACCCUGACCCAGCAACGCCGCGUGAAGGAAGAAGGUCUUCGGAUCGUAAACU
RNAcentral lists this ribosomal RNA (424 nucleotides) under uncultured bacterium. Its description in RNAcentral is "bacterial SSU rRNA". It matches the Rfam family "Bacterial small subunit ribosomal RNA", at positions 28 to 431 of the family's 1533-position model. The record is from RNAcentral.